UACGUAGGGACCGAGCGUUGUCCGGAAUCAUUGGGCGUAAAGAGCGUGUAGGCGGCCACUUAAGUCCUGCGUGAAAUCUUGCGGCUCAACCGCAAGCGGUCGUGGGAAACUGGGUGGCUAGAGUGCGGGAGAGGAGAGUGGAAUUCCUGGUGUAGCGGUGGAAUGCGCAGAUAUCAGGAGGAACACCAGUGGCGAAGGCGGUGGUCUGGGCCGGAACUGACGCUGUAGAGCGAAAGCGUGGGGAGCGAACAGG
This 253-nucleotide ribosomal RNA is filed under the name uncultured bacterium. Its description in RNAcentral is "partial 16S ribosomal RNA". It matches the Rfam family "Bacterial small subunit ribosomal RNA", at positions 524 to 776 of the family's 1533-position model. The record is from RNAcentral.